GUUGUUGCAAUGGUAAUCCUGCUCAGUACGAGAGGAACCGCAGGUUUAGACAUUUGGUGCGUGUGCUUGGCUGAGGAGCCAAUGGUGCGAAGCUACCAUCUGCCUCUAAGUCAGAAUCCCGCCUAGACGUGACGAU
Molecule: non-coding RNA, 136 nt
Filed under: Oryzias latipes (Japanese medaka)
Lineage: Eukaryota; Metazoa; Chordata; Actinopteri; Beloniformes; Adrianichthyidae
Description: Eukaryotic large subunit ribosomal RNA
Rfam family: Eukaryotic large subunit ribosomal RNA
Source: Rfam by way of RNAcentral